RNAcentral lists this ribosomal RNA (463 nucleotides) under uncultured bacterium. Its description in RNAcentral is "partial 16S ribosomal RNA". It matches the Rfam family "Bacterial small subunit ribosomal RNA", at positions 28 to 507 of the family's 1533-position model. The record is from RNAcentral.
GACGAACGCUGGCGGCGUGCUUAACACAUGCAAGUCGAACGGAAAGGCCUUUUCGGAGGUACUCGAGUGGCGAACGGGUGAGUAACACGUGGGUGAUCUGCCCUGCACUCUGGGAUAAGCCUGGGAAACUGGGUCUAAUACCGGAUAGGACCGCACUUUAGUGUGUGUGGUGGAAAGUUUUUUCGGUGUAGGAUGAGCCCGCGGCCUAUCAGCUUGUUGGUGGGGUAAUGGCCUACCAAGGCGGCGACGGGUAGCCGGACUGAGAGGUUGGUCGGCCACAUUGGGACUGAGAUACGGCCCAGACGCCUACGGGAGGCAGCAGUGGGGAAUAUUGCACAAUGGGCGCAAGCCUGAUGCAGCGACGCCGCGUGGGGGAUGACGGCCUUCGGGUUGGAAACUCCUUUCGCCAGGGACGAAGCGUUUUGUGACGGUACCUGGAGAAGAAGCACCGGCUAACUACGUG